RNAcentral lists this unclassified non-coding RNA (336 nucleotides) under soil metagenome. RNAcentral describes it as "partial contains 5.8S ribosomal RNA, internal transcribed spacer 2, and large subunit ribosomal RNA". The stretch from base 1 to 120 matches the Rfam family "5.8S ribosomal RNA", at positions 35 to 154 of the family's 154-position model. The record is from RNAcentral.
GAUGAAGAACGCAGCGAAAUGCGAUAAGUAAUGUGAAUUGCAGAAUUCAGUGAAUCAUCGAAUCUUUGAACGCACAUUGCUCCCGCCAGUAUUCUGGCGGGCAUGCCUGUUCGAGCGUCAUUUCAACCAUCAAGCCCCCGGCUUGUGUUGGGGACCUGCGGCUGCCGCAGGCCCUGAAAACCAGUGGCGGGCUCGCUGUCACACCGAGCGUAGUAGAUUUUCAUCUCGCUCAGGGCGUGCUGCGGGUUCCGGCCGUAAAAAGCCUUAUUUACCCAAGGUUGACCUCGGAUCAGGUAGGAAGACCCGCUGAACUUAAGCAUAUCAAUAAGCGGAGGA